RNAcentral lists this ribosomal RNA (408 nucleotides) under uncultured bacterium. RNAcentral describes it as "bacterial SSU rRNA". It matches the Rfam family "Bacterial small subunit ribosomal RNA", at positions 355 to 775 of the family's 1533-position model. The record is from RNAcentral.
UGGGGAAUAUUGCACAAUGGGCGCAAGCCUGAUGCAGCGACGCCGCGUGAGGGAUGACGGCCUUCGGGUUGUAAACCUCUUUCAGCAGGGAAGAAGCGAAAGUGACGGUACCUGCAGAAGAAGCGCCGGCUAACUACGUGCCAGCAGCCGCGGUAAUACGUAGGGCGCAAGCGUUGUCCGGAAUUAUUGGGCGUAAAGAGCUCGUAGGCGGUUUGUCGCGUCUGCUGUGAAAACCUAAGGCUCAACCUUGGGCUUGCAGUGGGUACGGGCAGACUAGAGUGCGGUAGGGGUGACUGGAAUUCCUGGUGUAGCGGUGGAAUGCGCAGAUAUCAGGAGGAACACCGAUGGCGAAGGCAGGUCACUGGGCCGCAACUGACGCUGAGGAGCGAAAGCAUGGGGAGCGAACAG